Molecule: ribosomal RNA, 253 nt
Filed under: uncultured bacterium
Lineage: Bacteria
Description: partial 16S ribosomal RNA
Rfam family: Bacterial small subunit ribosomal RNA
Source: RNAcentral
UACGUAGGGUGCGAGCGUUGUCCGGAAUUAUUGGGCGUAAAGAGCUCGUAGGCGGUUUGUCGCGUCGGAUGUGAAAGCCCGGGGCUUAACUCCGGGUCUGCAUUCGAUACGGGCAGGCUAGAGUUCGGUAGGGGAGAUCGGAAUUCCUGGUGUAGCGGUGAAAUGCGCAGAUAUCAGGAGGAACACCGAUGGCGAAGGCAGAUCUCUGGGCCGUAACUGACGCUGAGGUGCGAAAGCGUGGGGAGCAAACAGG